Molecule: ribosomal RNA, 262 nt
Filed under: uncultured bacterium
Lineage: Bacteria
Description: partial 16S ribosomal RNA
Source: RNAcentral
CUGCUGCCUUCCGUAGGAGUUUGGGCCGUGUCUCAGUCCCAAUGUGGCCGUUCACCCUCUCAGGCCGGCUACUGAUCGUUGCCUUGGUAGGCCAUUACCCCACCAACUAGCUAAUCAGACGCGGAACCAUCGUAUACCACCAGAGUUUUUCACACCGCUUCAUGCGAAGCUGUGCGCUUAUGCGGUAUUAGCACCUAUUUCUAAGUGUUACUCCCCCAGUAUACGGCUAGGUUUUCCACGUCGUUACUCACCCGUCCGCCAA